This 913-nucleotide ribosomal RNA is filed under the name uncultured bacterium. Its description in RNAcentral is "bacterial SSU rRNA". It matches the Rfam family "Bacterial small subunit ribosomal RNA", at positions 1 to 857 of the family's 1533-position model. The record is from RNAcentral.
UCUAGCUGAUGCCUGAUCGAGCGGCGCCGGGUGAUGGAAUCUGCAGACUUCCCACUGUAGAGUUUGAUCCUGGCUCAGAUUGAACGCUGGCGGCAGGCUUAACACAUGCAAGUCGAGCGGGGAAAGGUAGCUUGCUACCUGACCUAGCGGCGGACGGGUGAGUAAUGCUUAGGAAUCUGCCUAUUAGUGGGGGACAACAUUCCGAAAGGAAUGCUAAUACCGCAUACGCCCUACGGGGGAAAGCAGGGGAUCUUCGGACCUUGCGCUAAUAGAUGAGCCUAAGUCAGAUUAGCUAGUUGGUGGGGUAAAGGCCUACCAAGGCGACGAUCUGUAGCGGGUCUGAGAGGAUGAUCCGCCACACUGGGACUGAGACACGGCCCAGACUCCUACGGGAGGCAGCAGUGGGGAAUAUUGGACAAUGGGCGAAAGCCUGAUCCAGCCAUGCCGCGUGUGUGAAGAAGGCCUUUUGGUUGUAAAGCACUUUAAGCGAGGAGGAGGCUACUGAGAUUAAUACUCUUGGAUAGUGGACGUUACUCGCAGAAUAAGCACCGGCUAACUCUGUGCCAGCAGCCGCGGUAAUACAGAGGGUGCGAGCGUUAAUCGGAUUUACUGGGCGUAAAGCGUGCGUAGGCGGCUUUUUAAGUCGGAUGUGAAAUCCCUGAGCUUAACUUAGGAAUUGCAUUCGAUACUGGGAAGCUAGAGUAUGGGAGAGGAUGGUAGAAUUCCAGGUGUAGCGGUGAAAUGCGUAGAGAUCUGGAGGAAUACCGAUGGCGAAGGCAGCCAUCUGGCCUAAUACUGACGCUGAGGUACGAAAGCAUGGGGAGCAAACAGGAUUAGAUACCCUGGUAGUCCAUGCCGUAAACGAUGUCUACUAGCCGUUGGGGCCUUUGAGGCUUUAGUGGCGCAGCUAACG